UUUUCUUUCUUUUUCCUCUCAGAUUUUUGACUCGAUUUCUUUAGUUUCCCUGUUGUUUUUACCUCAACUUUUCCUUUUUUUUCUAUUCUCUCUUUUUUUUCCUUCUCACCUUUUCCCUCUUGAUCUUUUGCUCUCGAUUUUUCAAUAGAGUUUUUCAAUUUGAGUUGGUCUUCAUACACUUAUUUAGGGGUAAGUGGCGCUAGGGUUACAUUUUUCCCAAGAUGUUUGAACAUUUAUCUAUUGGUGUAACCAUCAU
Molecule: long non-coding RNA, 256 nt
Filed under: Gossypium raimondii (Peruvian cotton)
Lineage: Eukaryota; Viridiplantae; Streptophyta; Magnoliopsida; Malvales; Malvaceae
Description: long non-coding RNA (GRAI_LNC002157)
Source: RNAcentral